Molecule: non-coding RNA, 76 nt
Organism: Dallia pectoralis (Alaska blackfish)
Lineage: Eukaryota; Metazoa; Chordata; Actinopteri; Esociformes; Umbridae
Source: the annotation of a GenBank genome assembly
GGUGAUGGUAGCACAGUGCUAGAGUGCAUGCUUUGUAUGUAUGAUGUCCUGGGUUCAAAUAACCCCAACCUAACCU